AGAACGAACGCUGGCGGCAUGCCUAAUACAUGCAAGUCGAACGAACUCUUCGGAGUUAGUGGCGCACGGGUGCGUAACGCGUGGGAAUCUGCCCCUUGGUUCGGAAUAACAGUUGGAAACGACUGCUAAUACCGGAUGAUGACGAAAGUCCAAAGAUUUAUCGCCAAGGGAUGAGCCCGCGUAGGAUUAGCUAGUUGGUGAGGUAAAGGCUCACCAAGGCAACGAUCCUUAGCUGGUCUGAGAGGAUGAUCAGCCACACUGGGACUGAGACACGGCCCAGACUCCUACGGGAGGCAGCAGUAGGGAAUAUUGGACAAUGGGCGAAAGCCUGAUCCAGCAAUGCCGCGUGAGUGAUGAAGGCCUAGGUUGUAAAGCUCUUUUACCCGAGAUGAUAAUGACAGUAUCGGAAGAAUAAGCCCCGACUAACUCCGUCGCCAGCACGCCGAC
RNAcentral lists this ribosomal RNA (447 nucleotides) under uncultured soil bacterium. RNAcentral's name for it is "bacterial SSU rRNA". It matches the Rfam family "Bacterial small subunit ribosomal RNA", at positions 26 to 522 of the family's 1533-position model. The record is from RNAcentral.